GACGAAGGGGGCUAGCGUUGUUCGGAAUUACUGGGCGUAAAGCGAGUGUAGGUGGUUGUCCAAGUUGGAUGUGAAAGCCUUGAGCUCAACUCAAGAAAUGCAUUCAGGACUGGGCGGCUAGAGGACCGGAGAGGAUAGUGGAAUUCCCAGUGUAGUGGUGAAAUACGUAGAGAUUGGGAAGAACACCGGUGGCGAAGGCGGCCCACUGGAUCGGUACUGACGCUGAGGUGCGAAAGCGUGGGGAGCAAACAGG
This 253-nucleotide ribosomal RNA is filed under the name uncultured bacterium. RNAcentral's name for it is "partial 16S ribosomal RNA". It matches the Rfam family "Bacterial small subunit ribosomal RNA", at positions 524 to 776 of the family's 1533-position model. The record is from RNAcentral.